GAUGAAGAACGUAGCGAAAUGCGAUAAGUAGUGUGAAUUGCAGAAUUCAGCGAAUCAUCGAAUCUUUGAACGCACAUUGCGCCCUUCGGUUAUUCCUUGGGCAUGCCUGUUCGAGCGUCAUUUCAACCUUCAAGCCUGGCUUGGUGUUGGGCGCUGUCCCGCCUCCGCGCGCGGACUCGCCCCAAAUGAAUUGGCAGUCGCACCCUCCGAGCCGCGAGCGCAGCACAAGUCGCGCGGGCGGAACUCUGGGGGGACGGACGCUCCACAAGACCCUUUCUCAGUCUUGACCUCGGAUCAGGUAGGGAUACCCGCUGAACUUAAGCAUAUCAAUAAGCGGAGGA
RNAcentral lists this unclassified non-coding RNA (341 nucleotides) under soil metagenome. Its description in RNAcentral is "partial contains 5.8S ribosomal RNA, internal transcribed spacer 2, and large subunit ribosomal RNA". The stretch from base 1 to 120 matches the Rfam family "5.8S ribosomal RNA", at positions 35 to 154 of the family's 154-position model. The record is from RNAcentral.